GAUGAAGAACGCAGCAAAAUGCGAUAAGUAAUGUGAAUUGCAGAAUUCAGUGAAUCAUCGAAUCUUUGAACGCACAUUGCGCCCGCUGGUAUUCCGGCGGGCAUGCCUGUUCGAGCGUCAUUUCAACCCUCAAGCCCCCGGGUUUGGUGUUGGGGAUCGGCUCUGCCCUUCUGGGCGGUGCCGCCCCCGAAAUACAUUGGCGGUCUCGCUGCAGCCUCCAUUGCGUAGUAGCUAACACCUCGCAACUGAACGCGGCGCGGCCAUGCCGUAAAACCCCAACUUCUGAAUGUUGACCUCAGAUCAGGUAGGAAUACCCGCUGAACUUAAGCAUAUCAAUAAGCGGAGGA
This 347-nucleotide unclassified non-coding RNA is filed under the name soil metagenome. RNAcentral describes it as "partial contains 5.8S ribosomal RNA, internal transcribed spacer 2, and large subunit ribosomal RNA". The stretch from base 1 to 120 matches the Rfam family "5.8S ribosomal RNA", at positions 35 to 154 of the family's 154-position model. The record is from RNAcentral.